CCCUUAGAUGUUCUGGGCCGCACGCGCGCUACACUGAUGCAGUCAACAAGUUUAUUUCCUGAGCUGAAAAGUUUGGGUAAUCUUUUGAAACUGCAUCGUGCUGGGGCUUGACGAUUGCAAUUAUUUGUCACAAACGAGGAAUUCCUAGUAAGCACUAGUCAUCAGCUAAUGUUGAUUAUGUCCCUGCCCUUUGUACACACCGCCCGUCGCUACUACUGAUUGGGUGUUCAAGUGAGAUGCUUAGACCCUUGUUGCAUGGUUCAUUAUUGUGCUCCGAAAGGAAAAAGUUUCAAGCUUGAGUGUCUAGAGGAAGUAAAAGUCGUAACA
RNAcentral lists this ribosomal RNA (327 nucleotides) under uncultured eukaryote. Its description in RNAcentral is "partial 18S ribosomal RNA". It matches the Rfam family "Eukaryotic small subunit ribosomal RNA", at positions 1470 to 1796 of the family's 1831-position model. The record is from RNAcentral.